UACGUAGGGGGCAAGCGUUGUCCGGAUUUAUUGGGCGUAAAGAGCGUGUAGGCGGCUUUGCAAGUCCGUUGUGAAAACUCGAGGCUCAACCUCGAGACGCCGGUGGAAACUGCAAAGCUAGAGUCCGGAAGAGGAGAGUGGAAUUCCUGGUGUAGAGGUGAAAUUCGUAGAUAUUCGCAAGAACACCAGUGGCGAAGGCGGCUCGCUGGCCCGAUACUGACGCUGAGGCACGAAAGCGUGGGGAGCAAACAGG
RNAcentral lists this ribosomal RNA (253 nucleotides) under uncultured bacterium. Its description in RNAcentral is "partial 16S ribosomal RNA". It matches the Rfam family "Bacterial small subunit ribosomal RNA", at positions 524 to 776 of the family's 1533-position model. The record is from RNAcentral.